This 253-nucleotide ribosomal RNA is filed under the name uncultured bacterium. Its description in RNAcentral is "partial 16S ribosomal RNA". It matches the Rfam family "Bacterial small subunit ribosomal RNA", at positions 524 to 776 of the family's 1533-position model. The record is from RNAcentral.
UACGUAGGGGGCAAGCGUUGUCCGGAUUCAUUGGGCGUAAAGAGCGUGUAGGCGGCCAGGCAGGUCCGCUGUGAAAACUCGAGGCUCAACCUCGAGAUGUCGGUGGAAACCGUCUGGCUAGAGUCCGGAAGAGGAGAGUGGAAUUCCCGGUGUAGCGGUGAAAUGCGCAGAUAUCGGGAAGAACACCCGUGGCGAAAGCGGCUCUCUGGGACGGUACUGACGCUGAGACGCGAAAGCGUGGGGAGCGAACAGG